AUGCGAAACGUAAAAUUACAGAAAACGUCGAGGCUGUGCAAUCGCCAUUUUGACGAUUCUGACAUUGUCAAAGGGUACGAUAUUCUAGGUUUGUUUCAUCCUUUCAGCCACUGAAGAUUACGUGCAGGUUCAAAUCCUAAGUAUCAUCUCGAAGUUGGCAUUGAACAACCAAAAGUAAGGAAAAAAAACUUUGCAAGAUGUGACUUAUGCUACCAAUCUACCGGUUUCCACACUACACAUGUUGGCAAAUGUUCCUAUAACUGUCAACCAGCCCCCUCUGGAAAGGUCUCGUGUGAGUAAAUUGAAAAGGUCUCGUGUGAGUAAAUUACUCGCUACUGAGAGGAGUAAAGUGCUACAGCUUGUGAACCUGUAUGGUGUAGCUGUCAAUGAACACGGUGUUUCUCAACCAGUCACAGUCAUUCCUACUCACCAACUUCUCAAAGUCGCUUCUUCUCUUCCACCACAGUCGCUUCGUACUGCUUCCACAUCUUUUGAUUUAUUGGUCGAGUACAUUGAGCCAGUAACACCCAAGAAGACGGUGAUAUCUCAUUUUGAUAAGCAAGCUGCCGAACAGUCCCAGAACGAAGGUGUUGAUCAGAUGCCGAAUGUCCUGCAACCGAUGGCUCAAGUUGCACAGGAACUGAUCCAGCCUACGAUGGAAUCUCUUGAUGAUGAGCAAGCUGACCAACCACCCCAAAACGAAGAUGGUCAAAUUCCAUACGUCCAGCAACCGAUGGCUCUUGUAAUAGAGGAACUGAUCCAGCCUACGAUGGAAUCUCUUGUUGAUGAGCAACAACCAACUCUGGUUAAUUUCACUGAUAAAGAGACUUUUGGUUGGAAUAUUCAAUUUCAAGGAUCACAAGAAUGGACUUGGUCAUUCACUAAUAGCCUUCUGUUGUGUACUACCAAUCACUUGUCAAUGCCCAAAGGUUGUUACGUUCGUAACGAGUACGCUGGGCUAGAAAGAGGCAAUUAA
RNA transcript from Daphnia magna, 976 nucleotides. RefSeq lists it as uncharacterized. The record is from RefSeq and is a predicted model, not a curated record. Lineage: Eukaryota; Metazoa; Arthropoda; Branchiopoda; Diplostraca; Daphniidae. The transcript has 5 exons.